UUGUAAAAAAGUGCUAAACUUAAAAACUAAAUACUUUCAUCAUUCAACAUCACAUAAUUAGUAUAUGGCAUUGCGAUCUAUGGUUUGUUGCUAUCUCGAGGCCAGAUGUGGAAUACCUUCACAAUACCACUCUUUAGAUUUUGAAUGGAACAAUUCUCUCAAAAGAAGAGCUCUAUUUUGAACCUCAUCCAGAAAAUUAAAAAUUUUGCCUUGAAGAUAACGACCCAUGGACCUGAACAGAUGGUAGUCGGAAGAUGCUAAGUCUGGUAACGAGAAGUGUUUCAUCAGGUGUUAUCUUUUUGAAUCAAAACCCGAUUUCUAGUUACUAAUCCUGGAUAACAUUGGGUCAAAAUAUCAAACAUUUUU
This is a long non-coding RNA of Cimex lectularius (bed bug), 366 nucleotides long. RefSeq lists it as uncharacterized. The record is from RefSeq and is a predicted model, not a curated record. The transcript is spliced from 3 exons. NCBI's taxonomy places the organism in Eukaryota, Metazoa, Arthropoda, Insecta, Hemiptera, Cimicidae.